CCAGGUUAGAAGUGCAGGAGACGACACCAGAAACGGUGUUUUCCGCAAGGACUGCUGCAUAGGUGCUGCAUGGCUGUCGUCAGCUCGUGCCGUGAGGUGUUGGGUUAAGUCCCGCAACGAGCGCAACCCUUAUCAUUAGUUGCCAACACUUAAGGUGGGGACUCUAAUGAGACUGCCUAGGUUAACUAGGAGGAAGGUGAGGAUGAUGUCAAGUCCGCAUGGCCUUUAUGUCUGGGGCAACACACGUGCUACGAUGGUCGGUACAGAAGGCAGCGAAGUCGUGAGAUGGAGCAAAUCCCUAAAGCCGAUCCCAGUUCGGAUUGUAGUCUGCAACUCGGCUACAUGAAGUUGGAAUUGCUAGUAAUGGCGUGUCAGCUACAACGCCGUGAAUACGUUCCC
RNAcentral lists this ribosomal RNA (399 nucleotides) under uncultured bacterium. RNAcentral describes it as "bacterial SSU rRNA". It matches the Rfam family "Bacterial small subunit ribosomal RNA", at positions 975 to 1375 of the family's 1533-position model. The record is from RNAcentral.